GCCCAAUUAGCUCAGCGGCAGAGCAGUUGCCUGUUAAGCAAAAGGUCGCUGGUUCAAAUCCAGCAUUGGGCG
Non-coding RNA from Acanthaster planci (crown-of-thorns starfish), 72 nucleotides. The record is from the annotation of a RefSeq genome assembly. Lineage: Eukaryota; Metazoa; Echinodermata; Asteroidea; Valvatida; Acanthasteridae.